RNAcentral lists this ribosomal RNA (793 nucleotides) under Curtobacterium flaccumfaciens. RNAcentral describes it as "bacterial SSU rRNA". It matches the Rfam family "Bacterial small subunit ribosomal RNA", at positions 74 to 878 of the family's 1533-position model. Lineage: Bacteria; Bacillati; Actinomycetota; Actinomycetes; Micrococcales; Microbacteriaceae. The record is from RNAcentral.
CCCAGCUUGCUGGGUUGAUUAGUGGCGAACGGGUGAGUAACACGUGAGUAACCUGCCCCUGACUCUGGGAUAAGCGUUGGAAACGACGUCUAAUACUGGAUAUGAUCGCCGGCCGCAUGGUCUGGUGGUGGAAAGAUUUUUUGGUUGGGGAUGGACUCGCGGCCUAUCAGCUUGUUGGUGAGGUAAUGGCUCACCAAGGCGACGACGGGUAGCCGGCCUGAGAGGGUGACCGGCCACACUGGGACUGAGACACGGCCCAGACUCCUACGGGAGGCAGCAGUGGGGAAUAUUGCACAAUGGGCGAAAGCCUGAUGCAGCAACGCCGCGUGAGGGAUGACGGCCUUCGGGUUGUAAACCUCUUUUAGUAGGGAAGAAGCGAAAGUGACGGUACCUGCAGAAAAAGCACCGGCUAACUACGUGCCAGCAGCCGCGGUAAUACGUAGGGUGCAAGCGUUGUCCGGAAUUAUUGGGCGUAAAGAGCUCGUAGGCGGUUUGUCGCGUCUGCUGUGAAAUCCCGAGGCUCAACCUCGGGCUUGCAGUGGGUACGGGCAGACUAGAGUGCGGUAGGGGAGAUUGGAAUUCCUGGUGUAGCGGUGGAAUGCGCAGAUAUCAGGAGGAACACCGAUGGCGAAGGCAGAUCUCUGGGCCGUAACUGACGCUGAGGAGCGAAAGCAUGGGGAGCGAACAGGAUUAGAUACCCUGGUAGUCCAUGCCGUAAACGUUGGGCGCUAGAUGUAGGGACCUUUCCACGGUUUCUGUGUCGUAGCUAACGCAUUAAGCGCCCCGCCUGGGG